RNAcentral lists this ribosomal RNA (331 nucleotides) under uncultured eukaryote. RNAcentral's name for it is "partial 18S ribosomal RNA". It matches the Rfam family "Eukaryotic small subunit ribosomal RNA", at positions 1470 to 1796 of the family's 1831-position model. The record is from RNAcentral.
CCCUUAGAUGUUCUGGGCCGCACGCGCGCUACACUGUUCGACGCAGCGAGUCUUAACCUUGACCGAAAGGUUUGGGUAAUCUUCAGCAAAGUCGAACGUGACGGGGAUCGAUCAUUGCAAUUAUUGAUCGUGAACGAGGAAUUCCUAGUAAGUGCAAGUCAUCAGCUUGCGCUGAUUACGUCCCUGCCCUUUGUACACACCGCCCGUCGCUACUACCGAUUGAAUGGUUUAGUGAGAUCUCUGGAUUGACGCUGGCUAGGGGGCGACCCUUGGCCAGACUGUUGAGAAACUGCUCAAACUUGAUCAUUUAGAGGAAGUAAAAGUCGUAACA